AAAGCGUACGUAGGCGGCUAUUCAAGUCAGAGGUGAAAGCCUGGAGCUCAACUCCAGAACUGCCUUUGAAACUAGGUAGCUUGAACACGGGAGAGGUGAGUGGAAUUCCGAGUGUAGAGGUGAAAUUCGUAGAUAUUCGGAAGAACACCAGUGGCGAAGGCGGCUCACUGGACCGUUGUUGACGCUGAGGUACGAAAGCGUGGGGAGCAAACAGGAUUAGAUACCCCGGU
RNAcentral lists this ribosomal RNA (230 nucleotides) under uncultured bacterium. RNAcentral's name for it is "partial 16S ribosomal RNA". It matches the Rfam family "Bacterial small subunit ribosomal RNA", at positions 562 to 791 of the family's 1533-position model. The record is from RNAcentral.